UAAACUCGACCUUUGACCUUGCUGCCUUUGUUUAAAGCUCAGGUAUUUUAUUUGUAUGGGUUUGUUUUUCCACGCUGAAUGUGAGCCUCCCUCUGUGUCACCUCCGUGUUUAGCAGCAAACCGAGAGGAAAAUCAGCUGCGUGAGAAACCCGCUGGUCACGUGACCCGAGAGGCCCGUGCCGCUCACCUUUACGUUGGUGAAGUCGUAGUCGUACUGAGGGUGGAAGAAGUUCUCCGUGUUGAUUUCCACAGUGAGCUGGAAGCUCUCGGGAGGCGCGUCCAGGGCCGGGGGCGAGCUGUACAUGUCGGCUUCGUCUAAGUCGUGCAGAGACAGCGUCCCCAAGCUGGGGUACUCCAGCUCCUUAAAGCCCUCCUGCUUGUAAAACUCUUUGAGGGCCACGACGUUGACCAGGUCCUGCGGGGUGAACUGGGAGCUUCCGGUUGUCGCUUCGGCUCUGCAGCCCAGGAGCGCGGAGACGGCCUCCAGGCACAGCCUGACGUCCGGCAUGCUGCUGCUGCGAGGACGGCGGGACAGCAGGCGGGGUCCUCCGGCUUCACAGGACAAAUAUCUGCCCCCUCUGAGGAACCGAGGUCGGAACCGAGCUGAAAAACGCGCAGAGACAGAAGAGAAGCUCGACGUCUGCGUCCGGACAGCUCCCCGAACUUUCGCUUUCACUUACACGCAGCCGGGGGCGGGGCUUAACACACAGUUUCACUGAGAGCAAACACACCUGUUUCGUUCUUGGAUGGAGGGCGUGUGCACUGAAACUCAUCACGAGUUGUUGUGUUGUCACAGUAAUAAAUAGUUGUCUCUAUCUGCGGUAUCAUGACAAAGUCAUUGUUUGCUGUGAGGGCAGCUAUAGCGCCCCCUUGUGCUGAGUCUGAUUUUGGCACAGUACACGACUGUGGGGGUCAUGCUGGAGGAUGAAGUCACGCAUGGAAGUCUGUCACCUCUGCAGGUCACCUGUGGGUGUCAGCAGGGAGUCACAUGGUUCGAUUUGAUGAACCGGAGCCAAUCAAAGUACAGGAGCUGGUCAUGUGUGACACGAGUGGAACAGGAUAAAAUCCCUUCAUUGAGUCAAUGAUGCUGCUGUCUGUGCUGAGCUCUGAUGUAAACCGUCUGUUUGCUCCUGCUGUAACCCACGGAGACGGGACGACGAUCACCGGGUCACAGAGGAAGAGUCUUUGCAUUAUUCCAGCCUGAAGCAUCCAGACAAGCCCCGCCCCACCACCAGGAGAGGAACCGGAUUGGCUGAAGAGAAGGUCCUGUACUCAACAGUGAACAUGUGCAAGAACUCAAAGGCAUCACAUGACCACAGAUAGAAGCACUUUAAAUGAGCGUAAAUGAAUUUUUUAAAUUAAUAAAACUGUGAAAAUAUGUGAUUAGAUUUCAAAAUCUAGAUUUUAGUUUAUUUGUUUGUGUAAACAGAUAAGAUUUAUUUUUCAGUGAGCAGAAAAACUUAAAAUGUUAAAUAUCCAGAAAGUUGCAAUGAAAGCAAAAUGUUUGUAAAACAUUUCUGUUAAUAAAGUAACAGCCAUGAAUGUAAAUCUGCCACAGCAGAUAAUUACUAAACUAAAGAAAAUCCUUUUUUACCCAUGUGUGUGAAUAGUUCCCUCGGGUCAGUUUCAAAUCUUUAUGUCUGUGUCUGAAUAUUGCUGCUGUAAAUAUGUUUGCUGUGCUGCUUCCAUGAACAGGUUCCACACUUUGUCUGUUACUAAUAAACUGAUUCUGACACCACGAUCUGUCCUGAUGGCCGCCGCUCCAGAUGUGACGCUCCACAUGUGGACGCCUGUGAACGAGUCCUCGCUGUAACAUGUAAAGACUCAGUGAAAGCAGCUGUGCUGCUGAAGCAGAGAGUGAAACAUGAAACCAAACUGACUGACAGGAUUUUAACAGCUUGUGUCACAGGUGAAACUAAGCUUCCCGUCACACGACCGUACACUCAGACUUUCAGAGUUUGUGCUCAGCUCUCGCUGCAGGUCUGCUGACGACAGAGGAGUAGAUGACGCUGUGGUGGCUCUGCUCCGGCGGACUCCUGCUGGGUCUCUCUCUCCAGUUCUGUCGGCCCAGAGAGGCGUAGUGGAUCGUCUCCCCACAGAGGGGCGGGGUCUCUAAGUCCUCACCCUCUGCAGACAGACACACCGUUUUAAUCCCUCGUAGACUGACGUGAGGACAUCGAACACCUGGUGAGGUUACCUGUCGGUGCGCUGGACGCCGUCCACGGCUGCAGCUCUGUGUCUUCACGUGUCGGUGCUGCUGCAUGGAGAGAUGAAGAGCGCAGCAUCAUCAGAAAACACGCUGACUCUAAUACUGGAUUCUGUUACCAUAGCAACAUCCAUAUUUUUGCAUGUGCGGAUUCAUGUUUUAAACACAAAGUUUUGUUUAUCUGAAGCUGCAAAAAAGAAUCGUCAGCUCUCUCGUCAAUAAAAUCCUUUUAAACAUAAAUGAAUCAGCCAACACGCUUCAGACUGCCUGAAAUAUAAACAUCACUGAAUAAUAAAUAA
Long non-coding RNA from Astatotilapia calliptera (eastern happy), 2505 nucleotides. NCBI's taxonomy places the organism in Eukaryota, Metazoa, Chordata, Actinopteri, Cichliformes, Cichlidae. The record is from Ensembl.